RNAcentral lists this ribosomal RNA (492 nucleotides) under uncultured bacterium. Its description in RNAcentral is "partial 16S ribosomal RNA". It matches the Rfam family "Bacterial small subunit ribosomal RNA", at positions 28 to 507 of the family's 1533-position model. The record is from RNAcentral.
GAUGAACGCUAGCUACAGGCUUAACACAUGCAAGUCGAGGGGAAACGGCAUCGAAAGCUUGCUUUUGAUGGGCGUCGACCGGCGCACGGGUGAGUAACGCGUAUCCAACCUGCCCAUCACUUGGGAAUAACCUUGCGAAAGUAAGACUAAUGCCCAAUGACCUCCCACGAAGGCAUCCGAAUGGGAUUAAAGAUUUAUCGGUGAUGGAUGGGGAUGCGUCUGAUUAGCUUGUUGGCGGGGUGACGGCCCACCAAGGCAACGAUCAGUAGGGGUUCUGAGAGGAAGGUCCCCCACAUUGGAACUGAGACACGGUCCAAACUCCUACGGGAGGCAGCAGUGAGGAAUAUUGGUCAAUGGGCGAGAGCCUGAACCAGCCAAGUAGCGUGCAGGAUGACGGCCCUAUGGGUUGUAAACUGCUUUUAUAAGGGAAUAAAGUGGGUCACGUGUGACUUUUUGCAUGUACCUUAUGAAUAAGGACCGGCUAAUUCCGUG